GGAAUCAACGAAGCCACCAAGAUGGUAACCUCCUAUUUCGACCCGGCCACGAAACUGAUCUACGCCAUCGGAGCCAUAGUCGGCCUGAUCGGGGGAGUCAAAGUCUACCAGAAAUUUUCUUCGGGAGACCCCGAUACCAGCAAGACCGCGGCCUCGUGGUUCGGCGCCUGCAUCUUUCUGAUUGUGGCGGCCACGAUUUUAAGAAGCUUUUUCCUGUAA
This 219-nucleotide non-coding RNA is filed under the name Porphyromonas gingivalis. The record is from RNAcentral. Lineage: Bacteria; Pseudomonadati; Bacteroidota; Bacteroidia; Bacteroidales; Porphyromonadaceae.